This 271-nucleotide long non-coding RNA is filed under the name Gossypium barbadense (sea-island cotton). RNAcentral describes it as "long non-coding RNA (GBAR_LNC014375)". The record is from RNAcentral. Lineage: Eukaryota; Viridiplantae; Streptophyta; Magnoliopsida; Malvales; Malvaceae.
AAAUAUGCUAAACAUUGUUUUUUUACCAAAUAUGUUUCACACCCCUUCCAGAUCACAUUGUAUAAGUAAUCCCGACACUCACCAAAUACAACCACAUCCACAUCAUCCUCAAUUCUAAAACGACCCUCUUAAUCGCACAAUCCAAACUUAUUUGGUGCUCUACUAACCAUUCCUUACCCAUAAUCAAGUCGAACUCUCUAAACGGUAGCUCCAUCAGAUUUUCCAGAAACACAACCUUUUGUACUUCUAGCGGUACAUUCCUAUACAGUAU